UGGCGGUAUGCUUAACACAUGCAAGUCGAACGGUAACAGCUCUAGCUUGCUAGAAGAUGACGAGCGGCGGACGGGUGAGUAACGCGUAGAAAUCUACCUAGUAGUGGGGGAUAGCCCAGAGAAAUUUGGAUUAAUACCGCAUACGCCCUACGGGGGAAAGCGGGGGAUCUUCGGACCUCGUGCUAUUAGAUGAGUCUGCGUCGGAUUAGCUUGUUGGUGAGGUAAUGGCUCACCAAGGCGACGAUCCGUAGCUGGUCUGAGAGGAUGACCAGCCACACUGGAACUGAGACACGGUCCAGACUCCUACGGGAGGCAGCAGUGGGGAAUAUUGCACAAUGGGCGCAAGCCUGAUGCAGCCAUGCCGCGUGUGUGAAGAAGGCCUUAGGGUUGUAAAGCACUUUCAGCAGUGAGGAAAGGGGUGUCGUUAAUAGCGCCAUCCUGUGACGUUAACUGCAGAAGAAGGACCGGCUAACUCCGUG
Molecule: ribosomal RNA, 479 nt
Filed under: uncultured bacterium
Lineage: Bacteria
Description: bacterial SSU rRNA
Rfam family: Bacterial small subunit ribosomal RNA
Source: RNAcentral